AUUCCUGAAAUGUUCGACACUCUUACCUUUUUUGAACCUACAUUAUGACAUCAGGGAUUCCUAUAUUUGUAAGCGGAUGUCAGGCCUCCUCUGAGUGGAAGGCAGAAGCUUAUAUGCGGUUGCCCACCUAGCGUUGCUAGGCGUCAAUAAGUAAGAACCGGCAUUUUGGGGUU
This 173-nucleotide non-coding RNA is filed under the name human gut metagenome. RNAcentral describes it as "6S / SsrS RNA". It matches the Rfam family "6S / SsrS RNA". Rfam says of the family: E. coli 6S RNA was the first non coding RNA to be sequenced, but its function was unknown until recently. The record is from RNAcentral.